Long non-coding RNA from Ictalurus punctatus (channel catfish), 1109 nucleotides. The record is from Ensembl. NCBI's taxonomy places the organism in Eukaryota, Metazoa, Chordata, Actinopteri, Siluriformes, Ictaluridae.
UGGCUGUUCACAUGCUAGUUUCUUAAUUAGAGUACGGUCUUAAUCGGAUUAAGAGUGGAUUAUUGUCGUCCGUGUAAACGCAGCUUGUGACUCCGUUUACACGGACAGCGAUAAUCUAAUUACUGACCUUAUUCUGAAUAAGACGUAUGAUAUUCCGAUUAAGGUGUGUGCGCUUUCUUAAUCAGAGUAUCGGCGUAAUCGGGAUCGUAUCGGAUCAUCGUCGUGCGUGUAGACGCGGUCACUGUGGUUAAUUAACGACGAACAAACUGUCACUUUUGGCGAAAGAGGGAUAUAUAUUAAAAGGUCAUGCUGUUGUAGGGAAAUAAUCCACUUCAGAUGUCAUCACUACAGCCGGUCUUUGAUUUCUAUUUUCCAAUAACAGCACAACACAGCGUUUCGAUGUUAUUCCUUGCCAAACAGCACGGACUGUUUCGAUUUAAUAAAUGCUUCAUUCUCACCGUGUAGAUCUUAAAGCCAACCAACCAGGACGUUCGAACGAAGACGGUUUUUAAGCUCCGAAUCGAUCUUGCGUACAUAAUUCAUUAACUGCCGCUUCAUGAUCCGAGAACUGGCGCGUGGAUCCAGACUGGAAAUUUGGCGUGACCGCGUAGACUCCAGCAUGUUUAAGUGUUCGCAGUCCUGAAUCACUGAUGAGUAAUAAAAGAAGCAUUAACUCCAGCGGCGCUUUAAUACAAAUACAAAAUAAUCUCUCGGAGCACUUUCAGAACACGACGUCUGCACAACAUUAGCCUGGUGUCACGCCUUAAACUAGCGCUCGAGUUGAUCAAGCUAGGAAAAUCACCAAACUAAACGACAUAUGGAAGACUUACAGGCUGUACUUCACAUGCAGACUCUGAUUUACACACAGUGCCUGCCCUCCGAUAAUAUCGGCACCCUUGGUAAAUAUGAGCCUUCAUCGCUUAACCUUUUGACCUUUCUUUAAACCAAAAAAUGGAACGGAAUCAAACGAUCGCAAACAAAAGACGGGUUUAUCCAAAAAAAAUAUCGGUGUGUGUGGUGUUCAACAAUUAUUGGCACCCUUAAUAUGUCGCGUUUAGUGUAUAGUACAUCAACCGAGGACACCCCUGGUCAUCGGUAGGAACUACACG